This 472-nucleotide ribosomal RNA is filed under the name uncultured bacterium. RNAcentral's name for it is "bacterial SSU rRNA". It matches the Rfam family "Bacterial small subunit ribosomal RNA", at positions 32 to 508 of the family's 1533-position model. The record is from RNAcentral.
AAUCAACGCUGGCGGCAUGCCUAACACAUGCAAGUCGAGCGAGAAAGUGUAGCAAUACAUGAGUAAAGCGGCGCACGGGUGAGUAACACGUGGAUAACCUGCCUCAAAGUGGGGAAUAACACCGGGAAACCGGUGCUAAUACCGCAUAUUCUGACGAAGUCUGCGGAUUUCGUCAGGAAAGGAGCAAUUCGCUAUGAGAGGGGUCCGCGGCUGAUUAGCUAGUUGGUGAGGUAAUGGCUCACCAAGGCAACGAUCAGUAGCCGGUCUGAGAGGACGGUCGGCCACACUGGAACUGAGACACGGUCCAGACUCCUACGGGAGGCAGCAGUGGGGAAUUUUUCGCAAUGGGGGCAACCCUGACGAAGCAAUGCCGCGUGGAUGAUGAAGUCUCUUGGGACGUAAAAUCCUUUCGACGGGGACGAAACCGCAAGGUUGACGGUACCCGUAGAAGAAGCCCCGGCUAACUCCGUGC